RNAcentral lists this long non-coding RNA (209 nucleotides) under Gossypium barbadense (sea-island cotton). RNAcentral's name for it is "long non-coding RNA (GBAR_LNC010158)". Lineage: Eukaryota; Viridiplantae; Streptophyta; Magnoliopsida; Malvales; Malvaceae. The record is from RNAcentral.
GUGAUAAUCACCAUUCAAUCAUACAUAUUAAUAAACAUGUAUAUCAUCGGCUAUUUUAUUAGCUAAUCACUAGCAAGUAUUUACACAUCAUUCAUUGUUCAUAUUAUACCAAAAGUAGCUAAGUUUCUAUACAUGCCAUACCCAAAACAAAACGUCUAAUUAUACCGAGUUAUUUCUUUGAUAGUGUGAUCGGCAUCCGACGUUUCCUU